UAUGGCCAUAUGAGUUUGAGAAAUUUUUGUUCUGAACUGUGUAAACUAGAAAAAGAUUAGAUGUUAAUACUUGGAAGAUUUUUAAAAUGUUUGUUAGUGUUUCUUUGCUGUAUGAUCACAUCAAAUUCUAAGUAUAGAAAACUUUUUGUUUUGAUCUGUUUUUGUUGAUAACAGCUGUAAUGAGAUAUAAUUCACAUACCAUAAAAUUUAUCCUUAAAAGUAUACAACUCAGUGGUUUUUAGUAUAAUCAGAGUUUUGCAACUAUUACUAGUAUCUACUUUUAUUUUAUUUAUUUAUUUAUUUAUUUAUUUAUUUAUUUUUUGAGACAGAGGCUUGCUCUUGUUUCCCAGGCUGGAGUGCAUGGUGCAAUCUCGGCUCACCGCAACCUCCGCCUCCUGGGUUCAAGUGAUUCUCCUGUCUCACCCUCCCAAGUAGCUGGGAUUACAGGCAUGCGCCACCAUGCCCGGCUAAUUUUGUAUUUUUAGUAGAGAUGGGGUUUCUCCAUAUUGGUCAGGCUGGUCUCAAACUCCCGACCUCAGGUGAUCCGCCUGCCUCAGCCUCCCAAAGUGCUGAGAUUACAGGCAUGAGCCACCGCACCUGGCUACUAGUAUCUAAUUUUAUAACUCCAUUACUCUGAAAAGAAACUCCAUACUCAUUAGUAAUCACUCCCUGUUUCUCCCUUUCCACAACCUGUAAUCUAUUUUCUGUCUCUAUGGAUUGGCCUGUUCUGGACAUUUCAUAUAAAUGGAAUCAUAUAUGACCUUUUGUGUCUGGCCUGUUUCACUUAGCAGACUGUUUUCAAGGCUCAUCCAUGUUGUAGCAUGUAUCAGAACUUCAUUACAUUUCAAGGCUGAAUAUUCCAUUUUAUGAAUAGAGACAACUUAGGACCGUUUAUCCAUUCAACACUUGGUAGACAUUUGGAUUGUUUCCACUUUUUGGCUAUUAUUAAUAAUGCUGCUGUGAACAUUUGAAAGUUUUUAAUGUGGACAUAUGUUUUCACCUCUCUUGUAAAUAUGCCUAGGAGUGGAAUUAGCGUAGACUCUUUAGUUGAUAAGGCAAGGAAUGAAAUGAUGUGAGAACUAAAGGUUCUCAUUUGGGGGAUUUGGGAUGUUCCCUUCUGUGUUAGUUCCGUAAGAUGGAAAUUCUUUGCUCUGGACCUCACAGAGCACUGUACCUCCCUGAGGUGCUUAGGACAUCAGAGAAAUUAACAGAAAAGCUAGAGCCUCCAAUCAGAAAAGAUCACAAACAACAGAAAUGCCCCCACAUAAUAAAGAGUGCUUGUAUUAGGAUAGAGUAGCAAAAUCACCACCACAUCACAGUGGUUUAUUCUGACCAAAGCAUUUAUUUUCAUUCCAUUUACAUAGGAGGUGGCAUUGUAGAAAAUAAAAACUUUCUCAAAGAGAUACGAAUUAAAGAAAAGUUAGAGUAAGGUGAAUGCUUAUUUAAACAUACCUUUAGAGUGAGGGUAAGCCCCCUUCCCAACCCAAAAUGAACUGAAUGAGAGGGAGAGAAAAAGAGGUCCAGAGCAGUUUGUGGAGUGAUGUUUCCAUCUCUAAUGCCACUCAGCUCAGGAGCAGGCUUCAGACACUGCCUUUAUCUUUACAGAAAGCCAUGGGAAGGGAAAUGUCUGAGGUAGAGCUCAGCGUUGGGCAUCAUAUGCCUAGUCACUCAGAGGUCACUAAUCACUCUCCCUUUUCUUGUUUUUCAGUGAACGAGAUAAUUGGGAGAGACAUGUCCCAGAUUUCUGUUUCCCAAGGAGCAGGGGUGAGCAGGCAGGCUCCCCUCCUGAGUCCUGAGUCCCUGGAUUUAGGAAGAUCUGACGGGCUCUAACAGUGCUCACUGCAGCCUUGUGUCCACCACCAACUUCUCAGCAUGUUUCUCUCCUUGGACCUUGGGUUUCCAACUCUGCAGCCUUCAGGUCUGGAGCCGGGAGUGGGACCCACCAUUUGUGGGGAAAGUAGCAUUCCUCCACCUCAGGCCUUGGGUAGAUUUGGCAAAAGAACAGGAGCAGCAUAGGCUGUUUGAGCUUUGGGGAAAUGAACUUUGCUUUUUAUAUUUAACUAGGAUACUUUUAUAUGAUGGGUGCUUUGAGUGUGAAUGCAGCAGGCUCUCUUGUUUCCGAGGUGCUGCUUUUGCAGGUGACCUGGUUACUUAGCUAGGAUUGGUGAUUUGUACUGCUUUAUGGUCAUUUGAAGGGCCCUUUAGUUUUUAUGAUAAUUUUUAAAAUAGGAACUUUUGAUAAGACCUUCCAGAAGCAAAAAAAAAAAAAAAAAAAAAGAAAAGAAAGAAAAAGAAAAAAAUAUCCCAAGCCCACACCUAUGCCUCAGAAAGUCAGCAUGUGUCCUGAAGACUUUCAUAGAUUUAUAGGAAAUAAAGCCAAAUGUAGCUCAUACCUCUUUAUAAAACUAAACUUUUGUUAAAUAAAAUGAGAAGAGACCAUUCCAUCAUUGAAGUGUUGGAAUAUAAAAAGACAUUCCAGAGCAUAGCCUUUUGGUAACUUUCUAGGUAAUCUUGCAAUCUCUCCAUACUGGCUCCAUGUUGAAAUUGCUUUUUCCCUCAGGACCUUGGGUAAGAUGGCUACAUUUAAGGUGACUCUGAAUGGUGGGGUUGUAGCUUGGUCACUAUUUCUUGCCAUCAUAAAAACUAGUAGGCUGUGGAGUGCUCUUCCUGUUUGUGUCAUCUGGUCCUAGAACCUUUUCCAAACAGAAGCAUCUGCCUUUGGCUGUUCUGUGACCUUUGAAGCCAGUCUCACAGUGGUUUAGGCAGCUUUGCAGUUCUAACUCUUCUCUAGAGGCCAGGCUGUGUGCAGAGCUAAAGCACAAAUGAGCAGUACAUCAGCAUGGGCAGAGAAAAUACAAGACUCCAGAUGGGAAGGUUUUAAGAGUCACACUGGCAUGGAAGGCUUAUCUGCCAUUCUUUUUAUAGCCUGAAAUGAUUCUGGCCUACCCUGUCCUGUCUGUAUGAUCUAAAAACCAGCCUUUUCCCCAGAAGGCUCUGAGCACAUCCAGAAAUGAUAACCUGACCCUCCACACCAAAGACACCCUGGUGCUGCUGCUGGUGAGACUGGUGUCCAA
This 3074-nucleotide small RNA is filed under the name Pongo abelii (Sumatran orangutan). RNAcentral's name for it is "sense overlapping". Lineage: Eukaryota; Metazoa; Chordata; Mammalia; Primates; Hominidae. The record is from RNAcentral.